AAGGAGAGGAAAGUCCAUGCUCGCACUGACUGCGAUGUCAGUAGUGAUUGCGCCAGGGGAAGAAAUAACCCUGGGUACGCUGGAGAGCGUAACGGCGGAGGAAGGUCUCCCGUAGAUCGGAAUCCCCAAGGUGCCACAGAGACGAGCUUGCUAGCGAUAGCAAGAUGCAACGCGGUAAACCCCACAAGCGAGAAACCUAAAUUUGGUAAGGGAAGCGCCCAAUGCGAACUGAAGCGGCGGGGGCCAGGGAAACCUGAGAUAAAUUUCCACUCUCGACAUAACAUGGCUUAUAG
RNAcentral lists this RNase P RNA (293 nucleotides) under bovine gut metagenome. RNAcentral's name for it is "Bacterial RNase P class B". It matches the Rfam family "Bacterial RNase P class B". Rfam says of the family: Ribonuclease P (RNase P) is a ubiquitous endoribonuclease, found in archaea, bacteria and eukarya as well as chloroplasts and mitochondria. Its best characterised activity is the generation of mature 5'-ends of tRNAs by cleaving the 5'-leader elements of precursor-tRNAs. Cellular RNase Ps are ribonucleoproteins. RNAcentral also lists the same sequence under 1 other name. The record is from RNAcentral.